AGGUCUUCAAGAUGUUGAGGCAGACUGAGCCUGGUCCUCGGGUGUCUGCGUGUCAGAGGGAGCUCCUCCUGCCUUUUAUGGAGGAGCACCCCUAGCGGGCGAUGCCCACAUGCCCUUUGGACACCUCGUUUAGAAAGAGCAAUCGAAAGGAGCUCCGGAGUCGGUUUGCAGCAUUCCAACACCAGGCAAUCCCUGCGCAUAGUUCUCUUGCGCGGUGGAAGGCUUUCUGGUGGAAGGAGCCCCACAACUCUGAGCAGGAAUGGCUAAGCGGCUUGAAGAAGAGCAGACGAGUGCCGGUGGCAGUCAGCUCUUCAACUACCACAGCCGCAUUCUGCAAUCGACUGUGACCUCGAAGGUAGACAGUGCAUGAUGCCCAGUGGUCUGGCUGUCAGAAGCGUACCCCAGCACCAACGACAGCAGUGGCAUCUGUCAGCGAAUGGCCCCAGCAUGCUGCCUCGCAUCGUAGAACAGCAGGCAAUGUACCUUGACCAGUGGCAGCAGACC
This is a long non-coding RNA of Rhipicephalus microplus (southern cattle tick), 504 nucleotides long. The record is from RefSeq and is a predicted model, not a curated record. Lineage: Eukaryota; Metazoa; Arthropoda; Arachnida; Ixodida; Ixodidae.